CUGACACAGGGAGGUAGUGACAAUAAAUAACUAGACCGGGCUUUAUAGUCUAGUCAUAGGAAUGAGAGUAAUUUAAAUCCCUUAUCGAGGAUCAAUUGGAGGGCAAGUCUGGUGCCAGCAGCCGCGGUAAUUCCAGCUCCAAUAGCGUAUACUAAAGUUGUUGCAGUUAAAAAGCUCGUAGUUGGAUUUCUGGUCGAAGCAGCCGCUCAGCUUCUAGUAAGUUUGUAGCAGGCGCUUCGUCCAUUUUUGUAAAGACUAUAUCUGUCAUUAAGUUGGUGGGUAUAGGACUUGCAUCAUUUACUGUGAGCAAAAUAGAGUGUUCAAAGCAGGCUUAGGCCAUGAAUAUCUUAGCAUGGAAUAAUAAGAUAAGACCUUGGUCUAUUUUGUUGGUUAGCAUUCCGAGGUAAUGAUUAAUAGGGAUAGUUGGGGGUAUUCGUAUUCAAUUGUCAGAGGUGAAAUUCUUGGAUUUAUUGAAGACGAACUACUG
Molecule: ribosomal RNA, 487 nt
Filed under: uncultured Chrysophyceae
Lineage: Eukaryota; Chrysophyceae
Description: SSU rRNA
Rfam family: Eukaryotic small subunit ribosomal RNA
Source: RNAcentral